CUUUCUUUUAGUCAUCCGUGAAAUUGCUACGUAAGAUUAUGUACGUGUAAGAUUAUCUUGUGCUGUGUUUUUCUUUUGCAUAUUUAUUACCAAAGAGCUUUUACGUAGUAAGGUUACGUAGCAAGUUAUCAUACACGUACACUUAAGAACUAAUGGCUCGGUAAGGAGUUCCCGUAGUCUUAUAACAAGAAAAUGACAAUAUGCAAUCCGAUGUUGCGCUGUGUUUCGCAUAUGGGCAAUGCAAUGCCGCCAUGAUAAAAUUGAUGUUGGAAUCUAUCGAUGUGGUACUGUCCGAUGAGGAGUUGCUUAUCUUAAUAACGGAUUGUAAUAAAGUUGAAGCUAUGAGAAGGUGAUGGAAAUAGUUCGAAUUGUAUAUAAUUCUCUGCAGACUUUAAUGCAUGUCAGGUUUUCUUUAUCAUUAUACUGGUAUACAUCGCGUGCUAUAUCUCAGAAUUGGGAUACUUGCGGAUUUCAAUAAAUAAUGUCAAACAAUA
Long non-coding RNA from Bombus huntii, 494 nucleotides. RefSeq lists it as uncharacterized. The record is from RefSeq and is a predicted model, not a curated record. The transcript has 2 exons. Lineage: Eukaryota; Metazoa; Arthropoda; Insecta; Hymenoptera; Apidae.